Toxotes jaculatrix (banded archerfish) is the source of this 522-nucleotide long non-coding RNA. RefSeq lists it as uncharacterized. Lineage: Eukaryota; Metazoa; Chordata; Actinopteri; Toxotidae. The record is from RefSeq and is a predicted model, not a curated record. The transcript is spliced from 3 exons.
AUGGGAGUUAGAUCUGCACACCCACUGCAGUUUAUGAUUUUUUAAAAAUUUUUGUAUUUUUUUAUGGGAUGGUGCAAUAGAAAGAGACAUCCUAAAUCUUAAGUUACAUGCCCAUUUUCACAUAACACCAAAGGGUAACUCAAGCACCCCAAUUUGUCAGCUCCUGCCCACCUGUGUGUCGACGGGCGGCUCCUCCGACUGCAGCCGUGUGCUCUGAAGGGAUGUUGGUAGGUGCAGGGAAGUCAAGGAAGACACUGAAAACACCUUGGACCACAGCUGGAUGCUGCAACACUUGUAAAGCUCAGUUACUGGGCUACUUAAAUCCAGCCAAAAAAAAGUUCCUCAGUUUCACCAGCAGAGGGGGCUGCUAUUUGAUACACAGGAUGUCAUACAGGAUGGUCAUCUCCUCAAACUCGGAGCGUGGGUUGAAGUAUGGCCGAGGAGGCGUGGUGACGGGGGACAGGCUGCCCAGCAGCAGCUCCUCCCAGCCUCGCCGCGCCCUCCGAGCAGGUUUUGUGGCCA